UACGUAGGGUGCGAGCGUUAAUCGGAAUUACUGGGCGUAAAGCGUGCGCAGGCGGAUGUUUAAGUCAGAUGUGAAAUCCCCGGGCUCAACCUGGGAAUGGCAUUUGAAACUGGGCAUCUAGAGUGCGUCAGAGGGGGGUGGAAUUCCACGUGUAGCAGUGAAAUGCGUAGAGAUGUGGAGGAACACCGAUGGCGAAGGCAGCCCCCUGGGAUGACACUGACGCUCAUGCACGAAAGCGUGGGGAGCAAACAGGUUUAGAUCCCCUGGAAGUCCACGCCCUAAACUAUGUCACCUGGUUGUGGGGGACGUAAGUUCUUGGUGACGAAGCUAACGCGUGAAGUUGACCGCCUGGGGAGUACGGCCGCAAGGUUG
Molecule: ribosomal RNA, 372 nt
Filed under: uncultured prokaryote
Description: bacterial SSU rRNA
Rfam family: Bacterial small subunit ribosomal RNA
Source: RNAcentral